GGGACAUCAUUUCCCCUUCGAGUUCCCAACAACUCCAGAUCCUCUCAUAAAUCCGCGCCUGCGAGAUCUCCGCCGUCGAGAUCGCCGGAAUCUCUGUAACUCUAGCUCCUCCGCCGUCGAGCUCGCCGGAGCCUCUGAAUUUAUAAACAAGGAAAACAUAAUGGCGACGUACCAACCAAAGAACAUCCUGAUCACUGGGGCAGCUGGGUUCAUCGCCUCCCAUGUUGCUAAUCGCCUCAUCCGUAACUACCCUGACUACAAGAUUGUCGUCCUCGACAAACUCGACUACUGCUCCAACCUCAAGAAUCUCAUCCCUUCCCGUGCCUCACCUAACUUCAAGUUUGUCAAGGGCGACAUAGCAAGUGCGGACCUUGUCAACUU
This 381-nucleotide unclassified non-coding RNA is filed under the name Hevea brasiliensis (rubber tree). The record is from RNAcentral. Lineage: Eukaryota; Viridiplantae; Streptophyta; Magnoliopsida; Malpighiales; Euphorbiaceae.